This 836-nucleotide ribosomal RNA is filed under the name uncultured Megasphaera sp. RNAcentral's name for it is "bacterial SSU rRNA". It matches the Rfam family "Bacterial small subunit ribosomal RNA", at positions 47 to 848 of the family's 1533-position model. Lineage: Bacteria; Bacillati; Bacillota; Negativicutes; Veillonellales; Veillonellaceae. The record is from RNAcentral.
CUUAACACAUGCAAGUCGAACGAGAGCGUAGAGAAAGCUUGCUUUUUCUACAAUCUAGUGGCAAACGGGUGAGUAACGCGUAAACAACCUGCACUACGGAUGGGGACAACAGCUGGAAACGGCUGCUAAUACCGAAUACGUUCCGGAAGUCGCAUGACUGUCGGAAGAAAGGAUGGCCUCUAUUUAUAAGCUAUCGCCGGAGGAGGGGUUUGCGUCUGAUUAGCUAGUUGGAGGGGUAACGGCCCACCAAGGCGACGAUCAGUAGCCGGUCUGAGAGGAUGAACGGCCACAUUGGAACUGAGGCACGGUCCAGACUCCUACGGGAGGCAGCAGUGGGGAAUCUUCCGCAAUGGGCGAAAGCCUGACGGAGCAACGCCGCGUGAGUGAAGACGGCCUUCGGGUUGUAAAGCUCUGUUAUACGGGACGAAUAAUCUUGUGGUUAAUACCCAUGAGAAGUGACGGUACCGUAAGAGAAAGCCACGGCUAACUACGUGCCAGCAGCCGCGGUAAUACGUAGGUGGCAAGCGUUGUCCGGAAUUAUUGGGCGUAAAGGGCGCGCAGGCGGCUUCUUAAGUCUGUCUUAAAAGUGCGGGGCUUAACCCCGUGAUGGGAUGGAAACUGGGAAGCUCAGAGUAUCGGAGAGGAAAGCGGAAUUCCUAGUGUAGCGGUGAAAUGCGUAGAUAUUAGGAGGAACACCAGUGGCGAAAGCGGCUUUCUGGACGAAAACUGACGCUGAGGCGCGAAAGCCAGGGGAGCGAACGGGAUUAGAUACCCCGGUAGUCCUGGCCGUAAACGAUGGGUACUAGGUGUAGGAGGUAUCGACCCCUUCUGUGCCG